Molecule: ribosomal RNA, 2446 nt
Filed under: Staphylococcus aureus GGMC6004
Lineage: Bacteria; Bacillati; Bacillota; Bacilli; Caryophanales; Staphylococcaceae
Description: bacterial LSU rRNA
Rfam family: Bacterial large subunit ribosomal RNA
Source: RNAcentral
UUAAGUUAUUAAGGGCGCACGGUGGAUGCCUUGGCACUAGAAGCCGAUGAAGGACGUUACUAACGACGAUAUGCUUUGGGGAGCUGUAAGUAAGCUUUGAUCCAGAGAUUUCCGAAUGGGGAAACCCAGCAUGAGUUAUGUCAUGUUAUCGAUAUGUGAAUACAUAGCAUAUCAGAAGGCACACCCGGAGAACUGAAACAUCUUAGUACCCGGAGGAAGAGAAAGAAAAUUCGAUUCCCUUAGUAGCGGCGAGCGAAACGGGAAGAGCCCAAACCAACAAGCUUGCUUGUUGGGGUUGUAGGACACUCUAUACGGAGUUACAAAGGACGACAUUAGACGAAUCAUCUGGAAAGAUGAAUCAAAGAAGGUAAUAAUCCUGUAGUCGAAAAUGUUGUCUCUCUUGAGUGGAUCCUGAGUACGACGGAGCACGUGAAAUUCCGUCGGAAUCUGGGAGGACCAUCUCCUAAGGCUAAAUACUCUCUAGUGACCGAUAGUGAACCAGUACCGUGAGGGAAAGGUGAAAAGCACCCCGGAAGGGGAGUGAAAUAGAACCUGAAACCGUGUGCUUACAAGUAGUCAGAGCCCGUUAAUGGGUGAUGGCGUGCCUUUUGUAGAAUGAACCGGCGAGUUACGAUUUGAUGCAAGGUUAAGCAGUAAAUGUGGAGCCGUAGCGAAAGCGAGUCUGAAUAGGGCGUUUAGUAUUUGGUCGUAGACCCGAAACCAGGUGAUCUACCCUUGGUCAGGUUGAAGUUCAGGUAACACUGAAUGGAGGACCGAACCGACUUACGUUGAAAAGUGAGCGGAUGAACUGAGGGUAGCGGAGAAAUUCCAAUCGAACCUGGAGAUAGCUGGUUCUCUCCGAAAUAGCUUUAGGGCUAGCCUCAAGUGAUGAUUAUUGGAGGUAGAGCACUGUUUGGACGAGGGGCCCCUCUCGGGUUACCGAAUUCAGACAAACUCCGAAUGCCAAUUAAUUUAACUUGGGAGUCAGAACAUGGGUGAUAAGGUCCGUGUUCGAAAGGGAAACAGCCCAGACCACCAGCUAAGGUCCCAAAAUAUAUGUUAAGUGGAAAAGGAUGUGGCGUUGCCCAGACAACUAGGAUGUUGGCUUAGAAGCAGCCAUCAUUUAAAGAGUGCGUAAUAGCUCACUAGUCGAGUGACACUGCGCCGAAAAUGUACCGGGGCUAAACAUAUUACCGAAGCUGUGGAUUGUCCUUUGGACAAUGGUAGGAGAGCGUUCUAAGGGCGUUGAAGCAUGAUCGUAAGGACAUGUGGAGCGCUUAGAAGUGAGAAUGCCGGUGUGAGUAGCGAAAGACGGGUGAGAAUCCCGUCCACCGAUUGACUAAGGUUUCCAGAGGAAGGCUCGUCCGCUCUGGGUUAGUCGGGUCCUAAGCUGAGGCCGACAGGCGUAGGCGAUGGAUAACAGGUUGAUAUUCCUGUACCACCUAUAAUCGUUUUAAUCGAUGGGGGGACGCAGUAGGAUAGGCGAAGCGUGCGAUUGGAUUGCACGUCUAAGCAGUAAGGCUGAGUAUUAGGCAAAUCCGGUACUCGUUAAGGCUGAGCUGUGAUGGGGAGAAGACAUUGAGUCUUCGAGUCGUUGAUUUCACACUGCCGAGAAAAGCCUCUAGAUAGAAAAUAGGUGCCCGUACCGCAAACCGACACAGGUAGUCAAGAUGAGAAUUCUAAGGUGAGCGAGCGAACUCUCGUUAAGGAACUCGGCAAAAUGACCCCGUAACUUCGGGAGAAGGGGUGCUCUUUAGGGUUAACGCCCAGAAGAGCCGCAGUGAAUAGGCCCAAGCGACUGUUUAUCAAAAACACAGGUCUCUGCUAAACCGUAAGGUGAUGUAUAGGGGCUGACGCCUGCCCGGUGCUGGAAGGUUAAGAGGAGUGGUUAGCUUCUGCGAAGCUACGAAUCGAAGCCCCAGUAAACGGCGGCCGUAACUAUAACGGUCCUAAGGUAGCGAAAUUCCUUGUCGGGUAAGUUCCGACCCGCACGAAAGGCGUAACGAUUUGGGCACUGUCUCAACGAGAGACUCGGUGAAAUCAUAGUACCUGUGAAGAUGCAGGUUACCCGCGACAGGACGGAAAGACCCCGUGGAGCUUUACUGUAGCCUGAUAUUGAAAUUCGGCACAGCUUGUACAGGAUAGGUAGGAGCCUUUGAAACGUGAGCGCUAGCUUACGUGGAGGCGCUGGUGGGAUACUACCCUAGCUGUGUUGGCUUUCUAACCCGCACCACUUAUCGUGGUGGGAGACAGUGUCAAGCGGGCAGUUUGACUGGGGCGGUCGCCUCCUAAAAGGUAACGGAGGCGCUCAAAGGUUCCCUCAGAAUGGUUGGAAAUCAUUCAUAGAGUGCAAAGGCAUAAGGGAGCUUGACUGCGAGACCUACAAGUCGAGCAGGGUCGAAAGACGGACUUAGUGAUCCGGUGGUUCCGCAUGGAAGGGCCAUCG